GAGAAGCACAACAAAAAAGGAAUCUCUCCAACACACAUUCCCAUAUGAAGAUUCUAGCUAAAAAAAAUCGAAGUAAGACAUUUGAAAAUUGCUUCUAUGAAGAAGCCCCACUUCUACCCUGAAGAUGGACAGGUCACCUUGAAGAGGAAUCUCCUCCUGGUCCAGACAUUUUAUCCUGAAGAAGUGGUGUCUCUCUGGAAUUGGA
Molecule: long non-coding RNA, 205 nt
Organism: Talpa occidentalis (Iberian mole)
Lineage: Eukaryota; Metazoa; Chordata; Mammalia; Eulipotyphla; Talpidae
Exons: 3
Source: RefSeq, a predicted model, not a curated record